AACAGAUAUCCAAAACGGUUCUUGGCCAGGAAAAAGGAUUUGUGCUAAACUUUUCUUUUCUCCAGUUUCAGUUAAAUCUUUCAGUUCAGUUUCUUCCCCAACAUUAUCGUCUUUUUUGGCUUUAAAGAGAUGCUCCAGCAUCAAGCAAUGUACAUAUGUAUGUAGCAGUCAUGUUGGCUUCCGUGAUCAAUUCUUCUUGUGUUGAUGUGUCUUUUCACGACACAAUUGGAACAUGCUGAUCAACUUGCUGCUGCUGGAAGUCUCCAUCCUAUUACCUCAUCCUGGAUGGUGUACCAAGGACAGUAUAUGAAGGAGCAGUAAUCUCCCGGUAUUCACCACCACGGCAUGUGUUUCUAGUGGGUUCGGAUUCUUUCA
Eucalyptus grandis is the source of this 375-nucleotide long non-coding RNA. RefSeq lists it as uncharacterized. The transcript is spliced from 3 exons. Lineage: Eukaryota; Viridiplantae; Streptophyta; Magnoliopsida; Myrtales; Myrtaceae. The record is from RefSeq and is a predicted model, not a curated record.